CGGAGGUGGCAAGCGUUGUUCGGAAUUACUGGGCGUAAAGGGCGCGUAGGCGGCUAGGCAAGUCAGGUGUGAAAGCCCCGGGCUUAACCCGGGAAUUGCAUCUGAAACUGCUGUGCUUGAGUUCUAGAGGGGGUAGUGGAAUUCCCAGUGUAGCGGUGAAAUGCGUAGAUAUUGGGAGGAACACCUGCGGCGAAGGCGGCUACCUGGACAGAAACUGACGCUGAGGCGCGAAAGCUAGGGGAGCGAACGGGAUUAGAUACCCCGGUAGUCCUAGCUGUAAACGAUGGGCACUUGGUGUUGGGGGUAUUGAGUCCCCCAGUGCCGGAGUUAACACGUUAAGUGCCCCGCCUGGGGAGUACGGUCGCAAGACUG
RNAcentral lists this ribosomal RNA (372 nucleotides) under uncultured organism. RNAcentral describes it as "bacterial SSU rRNA". It matches the Rfam family "Bacterial small subunit ribosomal RNA", at positions 526 to 896 of the family's 1533-position model. The record is from RNAcentral.